AAUGGAACAUUCAAUGAUGUAAACGAUAUUCCUCUAGUUUAACUUAUAACUAUUUGACAUCUUUGAAAAAUGUUUCAACUCAAGAAUCUUCAAACAUCAUUUGGCACAAGGCGGUUCCGUUAAAAAUCAGUCUUUUUUGACUAUCUUGGUUCUGGACAAUUUGGAAUGAAAGAAACAGUCACAUUUCUUUAUCACAAGGAGUACUCUUUACAUCAAUUGUUAGACAUGAUCAAAGUUUAAACAUUUUCGUGGUUGAAAGCGAAAUAUUCUACUUUUACUUUUGAC
RNAcentral lists this long non-coding RNA (285 nucleotides) under Medicago truncatula (barrel medic). RNAcentral describes it as "long non-coding RNA (MTRU_LNC001925)". The record is from RNAcentral. Lineage: Eukaryota; Viridiplantae; Streptophyta; Magnoliopsida; Fabales; Fabaceae.